CAAUUUUCUUGCAAGGAGAUGCAACGUUUCCCUAAAAGGCUUCCCAUAUGGUCUACUGGGCAAGAUAACGUUGCACUAGAACUACGCAGCCUUCCCCCAGUAAAUGAUUUCCUUUUAUUUGUAGUUAGUCAUUAGAUAAACUCUGUGUAUGCAAUGGUGUAGCAAUGUUCUGCUUCUGGACAAGUCCUUUUUGUACUAUUAGCAAAUCUCCACUCACCACUGUAGUUGUGUAUACACGCAGAAUCAAAUUAAAAAUAGCAUGCUGCACAUAAGCCAAAUGCAAAAAGCCUGUAGUGAAGAAAGUAGAUUCAAAAAUCAGGCACACAGCCUAGGCAGUUCAGAAUGAAUGUUGCAGAAAAGUAAUUAAUCCCAAGUAUUCAAAGUUUGGCUUUUGGAACAAACGGCUCAAGGUUUAUAAUAGAAAAUCUUGGAUACCCUUCACUCUAGGUAGGAGCACUGCUGUCUCUGCUUGUAGUUACAAGCUUCUAUAUCCAAAAGUGUUUCAUAUCAUGUAGUUCCUGUAACUACCAGGUUUGUUUGAUAUCCAUUACGUUUCCUAACAAAAAAGGUUGAAUAAUUCUCCAUAUGAAAGUUUGCAGAAGAUACUCAGUUUUAACUAGCUUUUUUAGGCACCAAUGAAUAAGUAGACAGCUUAAAUUCUAGUUGCCUAAAAAAAUACUAGAAUUAUUCCCAUGUAUGUAAUAAGAAGGAAAAUAACUCUGGUAAAAGGAAAUAAAAAUAAGCUGGUGGUUGGGCUUAAUUUCAGCUUAAUUUCAGUUCAGCUUAAGAAAAUGUUGUCUUGCUAUCCAUAAAUGCAUGGUUUUAGUUCAAGCACUUGUUUUUGCAUUUUAGUUCACACCUGGCCUAUAAAUGAUGCACAAUACAUGGACAGGGGAAAGCAGCCUAUGGUUCUGUAACAGCGUCUAACAUAGCGUGGCGAGCUUGGAAGAGCUUUCAAGGUGAACAUGUUUGUGGCCUCUGCUUAGGGACAGUUUAAGUCCUGCAUUGUCCACCUGCAGGUUCCCCUGUUUUAGAAAGAGAAAAGGACGUUCUAAGUCUUGUGCAUGUUAUAAAGCAGGAUCAUCUGUUUCAGGCAAUCCCUGCCUGUGGGCAAGAACCUCCACGAGAUGGUUAAGUGUGUGGUGCUGCUUUGAUCAGUGUGUUGAUACAGUGGGAAAGUUUACAAGAUUACAGGUGUCUUUGUUUAGAACACACACAGCCUGAAACGAUGUGAAAGAGCUUCAAAUGCCUGCCUGCUGGUUCCAUUAGCUUUUUCUCUGAUGCAAAGUAAAACAUAUAGCUCCAAAUUUGUACUAUGAAGCUAAUGAGAGAAAUGAAGAAAUAUAAAUUAGCAGUACAGUUUUUAAAAUACUUGGAUUGUGCCUUUUAAAUUAUUAUAUGUUACUAUAACAUUUCAUUUUAACUAUACUAUUAAAAAUGAUAACUCAUGAAAUGCUGCACGUUGGGUACUUUCAGGUCACACAGUUGGGACAACAGAGGUUCUGUCUCCAAAUGUUAGAAGGACCCCCAAGAGAAAUGCCUGUGCAGCGUUAAACGCUCGCUUAAUUCUG
RNAcentral lists this long non-coding RNA (1571 nucleotides) under Anser brachyrhynchus (Pink-footed goose). RNAcentral describes it as "lncRNA (ENSABRG00000009690.1)". Lineage: Eukaryota; Metazoa; Chordata; Aves; Anseriformes; Anatidae. The record is from RNAcentral.